GGGGGGGGGGGGGGGGGGGGGGAGGGCGUGCAGGGCGAGGGAACAGACGAGGGGCUUGCUCCGCUGACGUUAGCGGCGGACGGGUGAGGAACACGUGGAUAACCUACCUAUAAGACUGGGAUAACUUCGGGAAACCGGAGCUAAUACCGGAUAAUAUAUUGAACCGCAUGGUUCAAUAGUGAAAGACGGUUUUGCUGUCACUUAUAGAUGGAUCCGCGCCGCAUUAGCUAGUUGGUAAGGUAACGGCUUACCAAGGCAACGAUGCGUAGCCGACCUGAGAGGGUGAUCGGCCACACUGGAACUGAGACACGGUCCAGACUCCUACGGGAGGCAGCAGUAGGGAAUCUUCCGCAAUGGGCGAAAGCCUGACGGAGCAACGCCGCGUGAGUGAUGAAGGUCUUCGGAUCGUAAAACUCUGUUAUUAGGGAAGAACAAAUGUGUAAGUAACUAUGCACGUCUUGACGGUACCUAAUCAGAAAGCCACGGCUAACUACGUG
RNAcentral lists this ribosomal RNA (497 nucleotides) under uncultured bacterium. RNAcentral describes it as "partial 16S ribosomal RNA". It matches the Rfam family "Bacterial small subunit ribosomal RNA", at positions 38 to 507 of the family's 1533-position model. The record is from RNAcentral.